RNAcentral lists this small RNA (28 nucleotides) under Arabidopsis thaliana (thale cress). RNAcentral describes it as "ATSL076360". The record is from RNAcentral. Lineage: Eukaryota; Viridiplantae; Streptophyta; Magnoliopsida; Brassicales; Brassicaceae.
UUUUCUUUUUCCUUUUUUUUUUCCUUUU